RNAcentral lists this ribosomal RNA (313 nucleotides) under Limonomyces culmigenus. RNAcentral's name for it is "partial 25S ribosomal RNA". It matches the Rfam family "Eukaryotic large subunit ribosomal RNA", at positions 1 to 307 of the family's 3401-position model. The record is from RNAcentral. Lineage: Eukaryota; Fungi; Basidiomycota; Agaricomycetes; Corticiales; Corticiaceae.
UCUGACCUCAAAUCAGGNAGGACUACCCGCUGAACUUAAGCAUAUCAAUAAGCGGAGGAAAAGAAACUAACAAGGAUUCCCCUAGUAACUGCGAGUGAAGCGGGAAAAGCUCAAAUUUAAAAUCUGGCGUCUUCGGCGUCCGAGUUGUAUUCUGGAGAAGCGNCUUCCGCGUUGGACCGNGNACAAGUUUCUUGGAACAGAACAUCNUAGAGGGNGAGAAUCCCGUCUUUGACACGGACUACCAAUGNUUUGUGAUGCGCUCUCAAAGAGUCGCGUUGUUUGGGAAUGCAGCGCAAAANGGGNGGNAUAUUCC